UCGUGUAGGCAGGAGCUGGGAGGACUCAAUCCACUCCUCCAAGAUCCUGCCUGCACGAGU
RNAcentral lists this non-coding RNA (60 nucleotides) under Otolemur garnettii (small-eared galago). The record is from RNAcentral. Lineage: Eukaryota; Metazoa; Chordata; Mammalia; Primates; Galagidae.